AUUGAACGCUGGCGGCAUGCCUUACACAUGCAAGUCGAACGGCAGCACGGGUGCUUGCACCUGGUGGCGAGCGGCGAACGGGUGAGUAAUACAUCGGAACGUACCUUAUCGUGGGGGAUAACGCAGCGAAAGCUGUGCGAAUACCGCAUACGCCCUGAGGGGGAAAGCGGGGGAUCGCAAGACCUCGCGCGAUUAGAGCGGCCCAUGCCUGAUUAGCUUGUUGGUGGGGUAAAAGCCCACCAAGGCGACGAUCAGUAGCUGGUCUGAGAGGACGAUCAGCCACACUGGGACUGAGACACGGCCCAGACUCCUACGGGAGGCAGCAGUGGGGAAUGUUGGACAAUGGGGGCAACCCUGAUCCAGCAAUGCCGCGUGAGUGAAGAAGGCCUUCGGGUUGUAAAGCUCUUUUGUCAGGGAAGAAACACCGGCUCUAACACAGUCCGGGAAUGACGGUACCUGAAGAAUAAGCACCGGCUAACUACGUGCCAGCCGCCGCCGUAA
Molecule: ribosomal RNA, 501 nt
Filed under: uncultured bacterium
Lineage: Bacteria
Description: partial 16S ribosomal RNA
Rfam family: Bacterial small subunit ribosomal RNA
Source: RNAcentral